GGGGGGGGGGGGGGGGGGGCUGGGGGGGGGCGGGGCGGACGGCGGCGGGGGCUUCGGCGUGGUGGCGGGUGGCGGACGGGUGGGUAAUAUAUCGGAACGUACCCAGGAGUGGGGGAUAACGUAGCGAAAGUUACGCUAAUACCGCAUACGAUCUAUGGAUGAAGGCAGGGUACCGCAAGGCCUGGUGCUCCUGGAGCGGCCGAUAUCUGGUUAGCUAGUUGGUGAGGUAAAGGCUCACCAAGGCGACGAUCAGUAGCUGGUCUGAGAGGACGACCAGCCACACUGGAACUGAGACACGGUCCAGACGCCUACGGGAGGCAGCAGUGGGGAAUUUUGGACAAUGGGCGCAAGCCUGAUCCAGCAAUGCCGCGUGAGUGAAGAAGGCCUUCGGGUUGUAAAGCUCUUUUGUCAGGGAAGAAACGGUAGAGGCUAAUAUCCUUUGCUAAUGACGGUACCUGAAGAAUAAGCACCGGCUAACUACGU
This 483-nucleotide ribosomal RNA is filed under the name uncultured bacterium. Its description in RNAcentral is "partial 16S ribosomal RNA". It matches the Rfam family "Bacterial small subunit ribosomal RNA", at positions 27 to 506 of the family's 1533-position model. The record is from RNAcentral.